RNAcentral lists this ribosomal RNA (558 nucleotides) under uncultured bacterium. RNAcentral describes it as "bacterial SSU rRNA". It matches the Rfam family "Bacterial small subunit ribosomal RNA", at positions 1 to 493 of the family's 1533-position model. The record is from RNAcentral.
AACGCGUUGGGAGCUCUCCCAUAUGGUCGACCUGCAGGCGGCCGCGAAUUCACUAGUGAUUAGAGUUUGAUCCUGGCUCAGAGUGAACGCUGGCGGCGUGGAUUAGGCAUGCAAGUCGAACGAUACCGCAAGGUAUAGUGGCAAAAGGGCGAGUAACACGUGAGAAAUCUACCUUUGAGCGGGGAAUAACCUUGGGAAACCAUGGCUAAAACCGCAUAAGACCACGACAGGGCAUCCUGUUGUGAUCAAAAGGGGGGACCGCAAGGCCUCCUGCUCGAAGAUGAUCUCGCGUCCUAUCAGCUUGUUGGCGGGGUAAUGGCCCACCAAGGCUUUUGACGGGUAGCUGGACUGAGAGGUUGGUCAGCCGCAUUGGGACUGAGACACUGCCCAGACUCCUACGGGAGGCUGCAGUCGAGGAUCUUUUGCAAUGCCCGAAAGGGUGACAAUGCGACGCCGCGUGUGUGAUGAAGGUUUUCGGAUCGUAAAACACUGUCGACCGGGAUGAAUCUCAGGAGGCUGAAUAAGCUUUCAGGGUGACAGUACCGGUAGAGGAAGCCA